CCAGGCUGGAAUGGGGGGUGGGGUGGCAGGUAGAGCCCCCUCCCCCACCCAGUGGCGGAACCUGGAGGGGCUGGACAGGUGAAGGGUUGACUAAGAAGGAAGUCUGAUCCUGGACCUCUAGGCCGGAGGGCAGGGACAUUCCUCAACAGAGCCUCCCACAGCUUGGACAGACUCAAAGGAGGACACCAAGUAAAGAGGAGCAAAGUGAUUCGCCUAAUGCCACACGGCAAGUUAAGCGGCUGGGCCUGAACCCCAGGUCUGUGACCUCAGAGCCCAUAGGCUGGCCUGGAGGCAGUGGCCCUGCCCUUAACUCCCUGCCGGCCACCCCUCAGCUUCAGCUUGGCUCCUGUAAAAGCGGACCCGCUCUGUGCCUAGCAUCCCCUGGAAGCAGUUGGUACCAGUCCUCUAUCUCCUUAACAGUGACCACAGCUAACAUUCAGCCAAGGGGAACUCUGGGUGAGGGACAAAACCCAGCUCAGGCACCUGCCUCCUACCAACGGGAUCAGUGCUGCCUCCCCAGCACCCUAUUCCAAGCACCAAAAAGCCUGCUCCAUCCCAGGCAUCCUGCCCAGCUCUUUGGACUUGGACGUUGCUCCCGCCACUCGGAGGCUGAUCACCCGACAGGCAUUAUUUCCUGGUUCCAGACCCGGGCAUGGCCCCACUGGUUCCAGGGGCCCCUAAAAUAAACUCCUUCUACUCCUUCUCCCGGUCAGUUUGGGUUCAGAUCCCAGUCUAGUCACCUCCUGGCUGUGCCACGGCAUCUUUCUGGGCCCCCUUUUCCUUGUCUCUAAAACAGGGGUGAUAAAAAGCGCCCACCUCAUGGGAUUGUUGUGAAGAUGAGAUGCGUUAAAAGAGGCUAAAAACUUGAAAAAGUGCCUGGCACAGAGUGAGUGCUCCUUAUAAGAAUUUUGCAUUAUUAGUCACACAAAUUAGGGGGCCGGCUAGACUUGUUGGGGGAGGGGCUUUUGGCCUGGGCACAGGGGAACCCCACUUCUCUGUUUAAUGGAGUUUCUGUGCUGGGGGGACACCCAUCAUGUGCUAAAGAAUGUGCUGGGCACCCAGAGCUCUGCUCCCAGAAUCCAGGGUACACGGGGAACACAUUAGGCCCAGAGACCCUGCAACUCUCUUCUGUCCCCUUCAUAAAACAGACAAGGAGGCUCAGAGAGGGUAAGUGAAACCCAAAGUCACCCAUAGCAAGUAAUUGGUAGCCCCAGGAUUUGAACCCCGACCUGCCCAACUCCCAAACCAAGGCCCCCAGGCCUCACCCUGAUCCCUCAGCCCCCGGCCCCAGCCUGCCCUGACUCACCAGACCCCGGGGGGCGGCACAGAGAGCACAAGUACCCCCACAUGCCCCUUGCACCCACCCGGCCGCUGGCUCCGAUGCUCCGGGCUCUCUGAGCCCAGGCCUGGGGCCAGGGCUGGGAUGAAACUGGGGAUUACCCCCAAAAUGCAUGUCAGCAGCUUCUGUCCCAUUGUCUGGCCAGGCACAGCCACCAGGCCUUCCCCUCAGUUGUCAACCUUGCCCCUCACACCAGCCCCCUGGCCCCUCUGUGGACCUGUACCCCUCCCUGCCACACCAAGAGCUUGGGGCCUACUUCCCUGAGGGCAUGGGGACCCGGCACAAGUUGGCAGGAUUCCAGAAUUCUAGGGGCCUCCCCCCUUCUCUCCAAAAUGCCCCCUGCCCACUCUCAGCCGCCAGGGAAGGCAGGAAUGUGCUGAGCUCUGGGAAAUGCCAUCCAGGCCUGGCAGCCACCAAGGGUUGGGGUGUGGCCAGAAUCCUGCCAGAACCCUUCUCCUGGGAAGGGAGGAAAGAAUGGGGCUGCUGAUGGUCCUAAGGAGCCCCUCACCCCAGUGCACUCUCUCUCUCUCUCUCUCAUUGAUUCAUUCAACCAUUCACCUGUUCAUCUAUUCAUUCAACAAACAUUCACAAGCCCUUGCCAGCAGCCUCUUUGCUGGGCAUUGGAGAUACCGACAGACUUACAUUUACCAUGUACCAUGGGGUGGGGGUGGGGGGCAGGCUCAGGAAAGGAUUCCUGGAAGGCGUGACCUCUGAAGUCAAACUGGAUGGUGGAGAAGCGGGGAGUCAGGUAAAAGUGUAGGAAGGGGCUUCCAGGGAGAGGGGACAAAUGCAGGCAAAGUGUACCAGAGGGGAGAAAGGGAGCAGUCUUUAUCCAAUGUCAGCAGUUAGUGAGUCCAGCCCUACUCUGGAUGGUGCCGGGGACACAGUGUGACUGAGAUAGCCCGGGCUUGCUUUCACAAAGUUCACAGUCCAACAGGGACACAGACCCAGCAUGGCCCAGGGUUGGGGUGAGAGAGUCACAGGGAAAAAGGUCAGGGCCUUGACGGGGGAGCCCAGGAAAGGUCCCUUGCUCCAGCUUAGCAAGGGAGGUCAGGUAAGGCUUCCUGGAGGAGGGGACAUGUGAACUGAGACUUGGAUGACCUACAGGAGCUAGGCAAGAGAAGAGGGAGGGGAAGUUUUAUGGGCAGAGGGAACAGCCUGUGAGGAGGAUCUGAAUCCAGAGAGAGGUCAGCACAUGUGAAAUUUCUAGGAGCUGACAACUAUGUCCUUCCUUGUUCAUGGCUGUGUCCCCGGGCCAAACAUGCCCCUUAUAUCUCCUCCUCAUGUAUACAUUCAUUCAGCAGCUGUUCACAGAUACCUCUUCGGUAUCCAACCCUGGGCUCGGUGGUGCUUAGGACACAGCAGUGACCCUGAUUUUGCCCUCACAAGACUCCCAGUGUGUGUGUGUGUGCGGGGGGGGUAUGAGGGCCGACAUUAAAGAAGUGAUCAGUGAAAUGAGUGUAUACUUACAUACUGAGCUAAGCACUAUGAGGGACAGAUCUAGGUCUAUAAGAGGGGCCUGGCACUCUGGUACUACCAGAAAGGGCAGGGAGAGCUUCCUGGAGGAAGUGACAUUUGAACUGGCACCUGAAGGAUAUGUAGGAGUGAGUUCGUGGAGGGGCACCUGGGGGGCUCAGUUGGUUGAGUGUCCGACUUCAGCUCAGGUCAUGGCCUUGCAGUUUGUGAGUUUGAGCCCCAUGUCAGGCUCUGUGCUGACAGCCCAGAGCCUGGAUGGAGCCUGCUAAGGAUUCUGUGUCUCCUUCUCUCUCUGCCCCUCCCCCACUCACACUCUGUUUCUCUCUCUCUCUCUCUCUCUCUCUAAAAA
This is a long non-coding RNA of Acinonyx jubatus (cheetah), 3164 nucleotides long. RefSeq lists it as uncharacterized. The record is from RefSeq and is a predicted model, not a curated record. The transcript has 4 exons. NCBI's taxonomy places the organism in Eukaryota, Metazoa, Chordata, Mammalia, Carnivora, Felidae.